CUCUUGGCUCGAGCAGAAACCGUUGGCAGAAACAAAGCGUUUAAAAUUUGAAAAGUGGGUCUGGAGGUGAAACGUUGGACUGAAUGGCCAACUUCAGAAAAUUCAGCUUAUUGGAGGGUGAGAUAAUCACAUGAAGAAAGCUCAGGGAAGAAGCGAGCGAGGAUGAAUCAUUGCCUGGAAUUGGGGCUUCCAAGAGAAAAGGGAACUGCACAAGGAGGAGAACAAGUCUUCUUUCUAUUCUGUUCUCAGCCUCACAUACUUCAAUAAAUCGUCCCAAACCAACAAUGUCCAGGCUUCCUGAGAAGGAUGCAGCAGCAGGAGCAUGAGAAAACUGUCACUUGCAAGCUCCCCUCUGAAUCACACAUUCAUUGUGCCAAUUUGAAGAGAUUUUGCUCGUUCCUUCAUCUUCAUUGUGUCAUAAACCUGGAACUCUCUCCCUAAUGGCACAGUGGGAACUUCAUGUGAUGGGACUGAAAUGGUUUGAGAGGAAGGUCACCACUAUCUUCCCAAGCAGGACACGGAUGGACAAUUAAUGCCGACCUUACCAUUUAACACAUCUCAAGAAUUAAUACAACAUUGCAAAGAUUAGACACCUCCCUUCACUGCUGUUACAUUCAGUAGAUUGUGUUUUAUAUGGAACGCUGUUGUUGCAUUAACAGGUCCUUUGCAUGUCUAACAGCAUCUUACCAGGAAGAUGCAGGUAGAUACCAUGGGUGAUGGGUUAACAUUCCUCCCACUGGGCACCUGUUCUCUGUUGGCCACAGUAAAUGUAACAAAUAUGGAGCUCUAGUUUCAAGUUCAACCCCAAGACUCAUUAACCAUGGAACGUGCAUUCAUAAUGCAACCAAACAGAUCAACCUGCAAAUCCUUCCAACAUGGCUAUGGAAGGUGGUUGGAGUGAGAGACACCUGGUCAGUCAUGAUUGAUGUGGAGUGGUACCCUUCAAGCACUAACUUCUGGCUUCAGGCUAGUGACCUAAAGGGGAAAAAAAAACACAUUUACAGCAAUAGACAGAAGUGUGCAAUUCAUCUGCCUCAUGUGUUUCCAGAUGAAGGAGGGAUAUAAAGAAAGAAGAAGGAAAUGAGACCAAUGACAACCCAGUGGAUCUUCCAUGUGUCCUCACUAAUCUAAUAGAGGAUCAAAAUAAAGUGUCUGAUUGAAAUUCUGAACACAUACACAACUCAGCUCAAACUGCAUCCAUGAAGAAGUUCAAUGUGUUUUCAACACUGAAACAAAGUCAAUAGAACAAGAGUACAUGAACACCAACUGGCUACAAAAAGACAUGACCAAUACUCACUCAUGUCAAUCCACAUGGACAAGGAGAACCACCACUUCGACUGGGACAACACCAAGAUCCUGGGACAGGCUAGGCAGAGACAGAUACGAGAAUUCCUAGAAGCAUGGCACUCCACAAAGCAUACUAUUAAUAAACACAUUGAACUCGACCUCAUAUACAUUCCACUACGAAGGAAAACCGGAAGUGAGGUAAUCCAUCUCAACGGACCCCAGAGUUUAAAAAUCAGGCGAGAAAACACACCAAUGCUUCACUGGAGGCUGCACUGAGGAGGUUACCAAACAUGGUAACGAAACAUCUGCGAAACAAGAAACCAUCUCGGCAAGCCAACCAACCUCAACAACCUCAAGAAGUCAAUAGAAAUUGGAUGGAGUCUUCCUUGUUGUGCUGUGUGUUACGAUGGGGAAUCAAAGGGAAAAUCUGUUUAAAAUGUUAAAUAAGAAUUAACCAAAUGAGCCUAACCACAGGUAUGAAGAAGUUCAAUGUGUAUUCAAAAUUGAUGACCCAAUGGCGCACUCAAAGGGUGUGAGAAUUAGAUCCCUGACACGUUGGUGAUGGAUCUGUAGAAAUCUAAACUCCUUCUUGGGAUGUGCAUAGACCUUCCAGCCAUUUCCAGCACAGUGCCACCUGCAUGUCAUGUCGUCCUCACAUGUCUCUCCACCUGUGCCAGAAGGAGCUGAAGUCUGAAGGGCACAAAAUGCAAAGGGACUAUCUUCCCAUUCCCCCAAUCCUGCCCUGCUUGCUGGAGGCACCUUAUCCUGCAAGAGAAAAGAUAAAAUAUGUAUAUGCGUUCAGCCCUGUAAUUGACCAUAGUGUCAACCAUAAUUGUAUAGCUGGAAACCACGUGUGGAGUCAGCAAGGGUUCGGGGUAUUGGCAGCAUUUAUAGGUGCCGUCUGACCUGUGAGUUUCCAGCUCUUUAUGUCCAGGAAACAUCUGCUGUGAAGUUGGUCAAGGGAUAAAUAAUGAAUUUUGGCCAUCAAGACUUUCUCACUCUGAGGAAUUGCACAGCCUCUAUGAAUUGAUUAUUCUCUAUGCAAAUUCCCUUGUGUCCCUUUUUGCUGGUCAUAUUUUGAGACUCUUAAAGAUCCUUUUGACACAUGUUAUUCUAUCUUAGGCUUAUGGAAAAUGUAGUCAGGAUGCUCUAGUCUGCUGAGUGACCAAACAUACUUACGAAUUUCCCUAAAGACUCCACACCCUGUGAAUGAGGAAGUUCUGGAAAUUUAUUUUGCAUGUGUUUUGUUUACACAAUUCUAUUAGUGUGUAAAUAGUAUUCUAUAUAUGAGGGAGUCAACAACAACCAUUGCUGAGCUGUUUUGAAACUAAUUAAUUCCUCCUUAGAACUGGUUUUGGUUUCGUAAGCGACAGCAGCAAAACUGAAGCGCUUGGAUUUUAAUAUUCUCUUUCUGAAAUAUUUUGAAGAAAAUAAGAUGAGGCGCUCCUAUUCCAGAUAAUGAUCACUUUCUUCCUGAAAGCCACAAUAGAAUCUGUCUCCACUUCUCUCUCAGGCAGUGCAUUCUGGAUCCUAGACAACAAGGUGCAGAGCUAGAUGAACACAGCAGGCCAAGCAGCAUCAUAGGAGCAGAAAGGCUGACGUUUCGGGCCUAGACCCUUCAUCAGAGUCCUAACCACUUGCUGCAGAACAAGUUUUUUCUCAUAUUGCUAUUGUUUGAUUUACAAACCUCCUUAACUCUUGUCAGUCUUUCUUCCAUUGGGAACAGUUUCUCCCUCUCUACGUUGUCCAGCACCCCUCAUGAUUUUUAACACCUCAAUCAAAUAUCUGCUCAACCUUCCCCUCUCCAAGGAGAAUAUCCUAACUUCUUCAAUCUAUCCAAAUACCUAUAAGCUCCUCAUCUGUGGAAACAUUCUUGUGAAUCUUUUCUGCACUGCCACUAAUGCCCUUCCUAAAGUGCAGUGCCCAGAACUGGACACAAUACUCCAGUUGAGGCAGAACCAGUGUUGUAUAAACAUUCAACAUAACCUCCUUACUUUUAUAGUCUAUGACUCUUCUAUAAAGCCCAGGAUUCCAUCUGCUUUAGUAAUCACUUUGCCACCUGUCCAAUGACCUUUAAUGAUUUUAUAUAUACAUGCACAAUUCCCUCUGCUUUAGAAUCAUCCCCUUUGUUUUAUAUUGCGUUUCCUCAUUCUUCCUAGCACAAUGUGCAAUGUAAAGUCUUAACUCCACCUUAGAAAUACUUUACUUCUACUUGUUUCAGAUAGCUUAGGAAGAAUGUCCAAGUCACUGAGAAGGGAGUGGAGAAGGGGAACUCACAAGACAGUGUCCAAGGCAGGAAGGGCUUAGAAAUGAGAGGCUGAAUGGUCUUUCCCUGUUCCUACAAGAUGAUGGAGAGAUAUGUGGAAGAAUGUCUCAUGACCAGAACUUAUGGACAAAUACCAAGAUGUAGCUUGCCUGAUGGUGAGGAAGACCUUUCCCAUCAGACGCUUUCCAUAUGUCUGGAGCCUCACCCCCUCCUCCCUUUCCCUGGAAGUUGCUGUGAUGGAGAAUGGGAUAUUGUCCACCUGCUGGUGGAAUGGGUGUUUGCAAAGAAGACCUGGAGAUAGAGACAAUGUUUCUUGUCAAGUUCAGUCAAAGUAACUCCAUGAAGCAGCAUACUGUACUCUUUGAGUGUUAGCCAAGGACACACAUCACGUUAAACAUCAACUGUGUCUGGAGGACCAUCAAUUCAAUGAAAGACACUGAGAUAACACAGCGUGGAGCUGGAGG
This is an RNA transcript of Rhincodon typus (whale shark), 4017 nucleotides long. RefSeq lists it as uncharacterized. The transcript has 4 exons. NCBI's taxonomy places the organism in Eukaryota, Metazoa, Chordata, Chondrichthyes, Orectolobiformes, Rhincodontidae. The record is from RefSeq and is a predicted model, not a curated record.